Molecule: ribosomal RNA, 460 nt
Filed under: uncultured bacterium
Lineage: Bacteria
Description: partial 16S ribosomal RNA
Rfam family: Bacterial small subunit ribosomal RNA
Source: RNAcentral
CCUACGGGAGGCUGCAGUGAGGAAUAUUGGUCAAUGGGCGCGAGCCUGAACCAGCCAAGUAGCGUGAAGGAUGACUGCCCUACGGGUUGUAAACUUCUUUUAUAAAGGAAUAAAGUGAGGCACGUGUGCCUUUUUGUAUGUACUUUAUUAAUAAGGAGCGGCUAACUCCGUUCCAGCAGCCGCGGUAAUACGGAGGAGCCGAGCGUUAUCCGGAUUUAUUGGGUUUAAAGGGUGCGUAGGUGGGUUGUUAAGUCAGUUGUGAAAGUUUGCGGCUCAACCGUAAAAUUGCAAUUGAUACUGGGAGACUUGAGUACAGUAGAGGGAGGCGGAAUUCGUGGUGUAGCGGUGAAAUGCUUAGAUAUCGCGAAGAACACCGAUUGCGAAGGCAGGUUACUAAACUGCAACUGACGUUGAUGCUCGAAGGUGUGGGUAUCAAACAGGAUUAGAUACCCGAGUAGUC